Molecule: unclassified non-coding RNA, 341 nt
Filed under: Hevea brasiliensis (rubber tree)
Lineage: Eukaryota; Viridiplantae; Streptophyta; Magnoliopsida; Malpighiales; Euphorbiaceae
Source: RNAcentral
GUGCCGUACAAAGAAAUUAGAUUGCACGAAAAGAAUCCUUCAAACAUUAGUUCGUGAAGGAGUAAACAAAGACAAAUGAUGAUUAACGAGAAACGUUCAAUGACUUAAGCAGGCAAAUCCAAGCACUAUCCAAUAUGUGCAAAAACAAAGAAAGACAUAUGGUCGCAAUAACAGAGGAUCUUGCAGUAAUGUAUCUCACAACUCCAAGCCCACUGUCAACAAUUGCUUCAUGAACUGCAUAAACACAUCUUUUUAUUCCAUCAUAAAGUCUCUCCAGCAAAAACUCCAAGAAAGAUCUAACUGUCUCAAAUGUAAUCCUCCCAGUCACAUCAAGAAUAAAC